RNAcentral lists this long non-coding RNA (2547 nucleotides) under Callithrix jacchus (white-tufted-ear marmoset). RNAcentral describes it as "lncRNA (ENSCJAG00000076755.1)". Lineage: Eukaryota; Metazoa; Chordata; Mammalia; Primates; Cebidae. The record is from RNAcentral.
CUCACAUGCACACCUUCUCCCCCGCAUGUGCCCACUGCCAUGCCCCUGCGAUGCCCCCGUGCACACACACAUGCAUCAUCAUGCACCUUCACUCACACAUUCUUGCACGUGUGCAGUGGCCUUGGGACCAGGGGACUCGAACUGUUUAUCCCCAACACAUGUUCCCAUGAUAAAGAAAACAGGAAGGGACUUGGAGCCAGGGGCAGGAAGGGGAAGCGGCCUGCACGCAGGAUCCAGCUCCAGCCAGCGGACAUUGGGCGGUCUGCCUGGGUGGGAUGCAGGGGCAGGCAGACGGGCAGCUGCAGAGUGGGGAGGUGGGAUGGCCCUCCGUGGUGUCUUGCCCUGGUUUAAUCUUCACCACAGUCCCGGUGGGCAUUACCCCUUCCAGGCAAGAAACCGAGGCUGGGGCCAGGCUUGUCCCUGUCAUCCAGGAGGGCUCCUGGAGCUGGGAUUCAACGUGGGUUCAUCCGAUCAGGCUCCUCCCAGCCCUGGUCCCGCAGCCCACUUGUGUGGAGAUAGGGCUUCCUUUGGAAACACGGAAGCCUCAUCCUCCUGACUUCACUCCCCAGGCCCCUGAGCCAGAAGAGGCCUCAGUGUGGAUGGAAGAGCUGCCAGGAUGCCUCAGUACGAUGCUCCUCCCCGCUCUCAUUUCCCUGAGGCUCAUUUAUCCUCAGCACCGGCAUCUGCCCCCUCCUCCAGGAAGCCUCCUCUGACCUCCCCAGCCCUGAUGCCUCCCCUGCCAUAAACAUCAUCCUUCUUCUCAGGCUUGCUGCCACCUCCAGCCCUGCCAGAGAUCCCUGUCACUCUUCAGCUGCGCUUUCUCUGCUAGCUAGUCUUCCUGGAACACUCUCUCUUCCCUUCAAAAAUCUUUCUGGGCUGGGCACAGCGGCUUGGGCCUAUAAUCCCAGCACUUUGGAAGGCUGAGGCACUUUGGGAUCACUUGAGGUCAGGAGUUCGAGAUUAGCUUGGCCAACAUGCUGAAACCCCGUCUCUGCUAAAAAUACAAAAAUUAGCUGGGCGUUGUGGUAGGUGCUUGUAAUCCCAGCUACUCAGGAGGCUGAGGCAGGAGAAUUGCUUGAAUCCAGGAGGCAGAAGUUGCCGUGAGCCAAGAUGGUGCUAUUGCACUCCAGCCUGGGGAACAGUGAGACUCCAUCUCAAAAUAAUAAUAAUAAUAAUAAUAAUAAAACAACUUUCUGGGCCAAGAACAGCGGCUCAUGCCUGUAAUCCCAGCACUUUGGGAGGCCGAGGCAUGAGGAUUGCUUGAGCCCAGGGGUUCAACACCACCCAGAGCAACAUGGCGAGACCCCCUCUCUACAUAACAUAGUUAGGUGAGUGUGGCGGCACAGACCUGUGGUCUCAGCUACUUGAGAGGCUGAGGCAGGAGAAUCACCUGAGCCCAGGAGGUUGAGGCCGCCGUGAUCUGUGAUUGCACCACUGCACCCCAGGGUGACCCUGUCUCAAAAAAAAGAAAGAAAGAAAGAAAGAAAAAGAAGAAAUAUUUUCUCUCAAAGAUAACUCAAACGCCGGCUCUUCCAGGAAGCCGUCCUGGAUCUCUCUGAGUUUCUCUACCUUCUCUUUAAGUCAUUUCACUCCCUCUGGUCUCUGCAUACAGAACUGGGUAGAUCUCAAGCUCAGGGGUGCCCAGCAGAACCCAACCCAGGGUAAUGCCUCUGGGAUCUCCAGCCCUUGGCUUGUCCUGCCCUGCACUUUGUGGGGACCAGAGGAGCGGCUUGAUUGGCUCUGAGCCAAUCACACAACAAGAGCAUACUAAGAGCUUGCUGGAGUGUGUCCUUUCAACCAAUAUUUCCUGAGCACCCACACUAUGCCAGGCCCGGGAUCACAUGACUGCCCCUGGAGAUGCCAUCUCCACCCCGCAUCGACCCUCAGCACACAGUAGGUGCCCAGAGUGUUGGCUGCUCUUCACCAAACAAUCAAAGGCAGGGGUGGCCUUCCUGCAGCCUUGGAGACAGACAGCCUGGCUCCAGAUCCUGCUCACACCCCGUACUGACCCGGUGACCCUGGGUGGGUCCCUUAACCCCUCUGUGACAUGGACACAGUGGUUGCAGCAGCUCUGGAGAGCAGAGUGAGAUGACAGGGGUGGCCACACUUAAUGUAGCUCCUGGUCCCGGCAUGUACUCAGCAGCGGUAUCACUUGAUAUCCUCCUUCCCUAAAUGUCCAUAAAUGUCCCUGGCUGGCUGGAUGGAACCAUUCCCAAGGAAAGAUUGUACAGGCACUCCUGAGUCCCCAGGACCUGGGGCCUUGGGUACUGACCAAGCCCCUAGGGGUGCAGCGGCUUCUCAAGCAACAUUCUGGGGCUGCCCCAGAGAGGCCUGGGGGGCGGGGAGGGCAGUGCCCAGAUUUAUCCACCAAUCGCACAGGCUGCUGGCACUGAGCACAUUCUUAUCUGCCCAGCCCAGCAUGGGGGGGUGGCCAGGCCGGCCAGGGCGGGACGCUUCCCGGGGGCUGGACACGGAGGAGCCCCAAGCCCCGCUGGGUGGGUGACAGCCGCGGAGCCUCUGAGUGACCCUGCAGGCUGGUGGCCAGCC